GCCUGGCCCUAAAUCUUGACGCUCGAUAUUACCUGAGCGUCCGCCCGAGAACUACGAGCACAAACGCUUAAAACUCUAAGGACUUGGCGGUGCUCCAAACCCACCUAGAGGAGCCUGUUCUGUAAUCGAUGAUCCACGAUAUUACCUGACCAUUCCUUGCACGAAACAGCCUAUAUACCGCCGUCGCCAGCCCACCUUUCCUGACAGCCCAACAGUGGACGCAAUAGCCUAACCCGCUAGCAAGACAGGUCAAGGUAUAGCCUAUGGAAUGGAAGCAAUGGGCUACAUUUUCUARAUUAGAACAUACGGAUAGGGGUAUGAAAUUGCCCCUGGAAGGCGGAUUUAGCAGUAAAGAGAGACAAUCGAGCUCUCUUUAAGCCGGCUCUGGAGCACGU
This 395-nucleotide ribosomal RNA is filed under the name Turdus viscivorus viscivorus. RNAcentral describes it as "partial 12S ribosomal RNA". It matches the Rfam family "Bacterial small subunit ribosomal RNA", at positions 794 to 1384 of the family's 1533-position model. The record is from RNAcentral. Lineage: Eukaryota; Metazoa; Chordata; Aves; Passeriformes; Turdidae.